AUUGAACGCUGGCGGCAUGCCUAACACAUGCAAGUCGAACGGCAGCACGGCAGUAGCAAUACUGUGGGUGGCGAGUGGCGGACGGGUGAGGAAUACGUCGGAAUCUGCCCAGUCGUGGGGGAUAACUAGCCGAAAGGUUAGCUAAUACCGCAUACGACCGAGAGGUGAAAGCGGGGGACCGCAAGGCCUCGCGCGAUUGGAUGAGCCGACGUCGGAUUAGCUAGUUGGUGGGGUAAAGGCCCACCAAGGCGACGAUCCGUAGCUGGUCUGAGAGGAUGAUCAGCCACACUGGAACUGAGACACGGUCCAGACUCCUACGGGAGGCAGCAGUGGGGAAUAUUGGGCAAUGGGCGCAAGCCUGAUCCAGCAAUGCCGCGUGUGUGAAGAAGGCC
This 392-nucleotide ribosomal RNA is filed under the name uncultured bacterium. Its description in RNAcentral is "bacterial SSU rRNA". It matches the Rfam family "Bacterial small subunit ribosomal RNA", at positions 29 to 416 of the family's 1533-position model. The record is from RNAcentral.